CCUACGGGAGGCAGCAGUGGGGAAUAUUGCACAAUGGGCGCAAGCCUGAUGCAGCCAUGCCGCGUGUAUGAAGAAGGCCUUCGGGCUGUAAAGUACUUUCAGCGGGGAUGAAGGGAGUAAAGUUAAUACCUUUGCUCAUUGACGUUACCCGCAGAAGAAGCACCGGCUAACUCCGUGCCAGCAGCCGCGGUAAUA
Molecule: ribosomal RNA, 195 nt
Filed under: Escherichia sp.
Lineage: Bacteria; Pseudomonadati; Pseudomonadota; Gammaproteobacteria; Enterobacterales; Enterobacteriaceae
Description: partial 16S ribosomal RNA
Rfam family: Bacterial small subunit ribosomal RNA
Source: RNAcentral